UUUUCAAGAGUUUGAUUCAUGGCUCAGGAUGAACGCUGGCGGCGUGCCUAAUACAUGCAAGUCGAGCGAACUGACGAGGAGCUUGCUCCUUUGACGUUAGCGGCGGACGGGUGAGUAACACGUGGGUAACCUACCUAUAAGACUGGAAUAACUCCGGGAAACCGGGGCUAAUGCCGGAUAACAUAUCGAACCGCAUGGUUCGAUAGUGAAAGACGGUCUUGCUGUCACUUAUAGAUGGACCCGCGCCGUAUUAGCUAGUUGGUGAGGUAACGGCUCACCAAGGCAACGAUACGUAGCCGACCUGAGAGGGUGAUCGGCCACACUGGAACUGAGACACGGUCCAGACUCCUACGGGAGGCAGCAGUAGGGAAUCUUCCGCAAUGGGCGAAAGCCUGACGGAGCAACGCCGCGUGAGUGAUGAAGGUCUUCGGAUCGUAAAGCUCUGUUGUUAGGGAAGAACAAAUGUGUAAGUAACUGUGCACAUCUUGACGGUACCUAACCAGAAAGCCACGGCUAACUACGUGCCAGCAGCCGCGGUAAUACGUAGGUGGCAAGCGUUAUCCGGAAUUAUUGGGCGUAAAGCGCGCGUAGGCGGUUUUUUAAGUCUGAUGUGAAAGCCCACGGCUCAACCGUGGAGGGUCAUUGGAAACUGGAAAACUUGAGUGCAGAAGAGGAAAGUGGAAUUCCAUGUGUAGCGGUGAAAUGCGCAGAGAUAUGGAGGAACACCAGUGGCGAAGGCGGCUUUCUGGUCUGUAACUGACGCUGAUGUGCGAAAGCGUGGGGAUCAAACAGGAUUAGAUACCCUGGUAGUCCACGCCGUAAACGAUGAGUGCUAAGUGUUAGGGGGUUUCCGCCCCUUAGUGCUGCAGCUAACGCAUUAAGCACUCCCGCCUGGGG
This 897-nucleotide ribosomal RNA is filed under the name Staphylococcus chromogenes. Its description in RNAcentral is "bacterial SSU rRNA". It matches the Rfam family "Bacterial small subunit ribosomal RNA", at positions 1 to 878 of the family's 1533-position model. The record is from RNAcentral. Lineage: Bacteria; Bacillati; Bacillota; Bacilli; Caryophanales; Staphylococcaceae.